GGGACACGUGGUAUCCUGUCUGAAUAUGGGGGGACCAUCCUCCAAGGCUAAAUACUCCUGACUGACCGAUAGUGAACCAGUACCGUGAGGGAAAGGCGAAAAGAACCCCGGCGAGGGGAGUGAAAAAGAACCUGAAACCGUGUACGUACAAGCAGUGGGAGCACAGGUUUACCUGUGUGACUGCGUACCUUUUGUAUAAUGGGUCAGCGACUUAUAUUCUGUAGCAAGGUUAACCGUAUAGGGGAGCCGGAGGGAAACCGAGUCUUAAUUGGGCGUUAAGUUGCAGGGUAUAGACCCGAAACCCGGUGAUCUAGCCAUGGGCAGGUUGAAGGUUGGGUAACACUAACUGGAGGACCGAACCGACUAAUGUUGAAAAAUUAGCGGAUGACCUGUGGCUGGGGGUGAAAGGCCAAUCAAACCGGGAGAUAGCUGGUUCUCCCCGAAAGCUAUUUAGGUAGCGCCUCGUGAAUUCAUCUCCGGGGGUAGAGCACUGUUUCGGCUAGGGGGCCAUCCCGGCUUACCAACCCGAUGCAAACUGCGAAUACCGGAGAAUGUUAUCACGGGAGACACACGGCGGGUGCUAACGUCCGUCGUGAAGAGGGAAACAACCCAGACCGCCAGCUAAGGUCCCAAAGUCAUGGUUAAGUGGGAAACGAUGUGGGAAGGCCCAGACAGCCAGGAUGUUGGCUUAGAAGCAGCCAUCAUUUAAAGAAAGCGUAAUAGCUCACUGGUCGAGUCGGCCUGCGCGGAAGAUGUAACGGGGCUAAACCAUGCACCGAAGCUGCGGCAGCGACGCUUAUGCGUUGUUGGGUAGGGGAGCGUUCUGUAAGCCGUUGAAGGUGGCCUGUGAGGGUUGCUGGAGGUAUCAGAAGUGCGAAUGCUGACAUAAGUAACGAUAAAGCGGGUGAAAAGCCCGCUCGCCGGAAGACCAAGGGUUCCUGUCCAACGUUAAUCGGGGCAGGGUGAGUCGACCCCUAAGGCGAGGCCGAAAGGCGUAGUCGAUGGGAAACGGGUUAAUAUUCCCGUACUUGGUGUUACUGCGAAGGGGGGACGGAGAAGGCUAUGUUGGCCGGGCGACGGUUGUCCCGGUU
This 1091-nucleotide ribosomal RNA is filed under the name Salmonella enterica subsp. enterica. RNAcentral's name for it is "partial 23S ribosomal RNA". It matches the Rfam family "Bacterial large subunit ribosomal RNA", at positions 419 to 1512 of the family's 2925-position model. Lineage: Bacteria; Pseudomonadati; Pseudomonadota; Gammaproteobacteria; Enterobacterales; Enterobacteriaceae. The record is from RNAcentral.